UUUGCCCAACCUGGGGCAAAGUUAACAUGAAAAGAGGAACAAUUCUUAGAAUGCAGUUAUGUGAAUUUCCAAAUUCAGCCCACACUUCCACAUAAAGCCCUUUGCAGAGCCCACGUUUCUCUUCCAAAAGCGUUCCUUUUAAUUUUUUUCGCAUUGAGGAAUAAACAAACUACAGAGAGGGCGUCUAUUUUUGCUCUUUAGGUUAAACGGGGAGACGCCCAGGAUCUCCGUUUUCCUGAAGUUUGACCCCACUUGCAUGGAAACAAGGACCGGACAAACUGUGGCAUCUGCAGGGACCUCCUCUGGGCAGAUGUGGAAGCGUGAUGGGCCUUUCGCAGGCCCUUCCGCAGGCCCUGCCGCAGUGCCUAAUCUAAGGUGCUAGUUAAAACCAGCUGCCUGAAGCGGAACUUUUGCCUGCUUGAAGCUUUGCCUGUGAGCCAAUCUCAGACUGAGCCCUUUCAAAGGAGAGCCUGCUCUGCAUGUGCUUUUCCAGGAUGGAUGAAGGACAUACUGGUAUUUGCAUCCAUUUUCAAGCCUGACCAUGGAAAAGGAUUCAGACCGAUGCCCACUGCCUGCUGCAAAGUCUACGUGUCCUAGUGGGACAAGAUUCAGGAUUGUUUCAGGGGAGAAAUCCUGGCUGAAAUUCAGUGGGACACAUCUACACUCUUGCAAUGAAUGUACAAGGUAUUGGGACCCUCCACUGGAAUGAGCUGUGGCAACACCCAGGGCCAGCUGAGCCAUAUUGGAGCCCAGAGUGAAAGGUAAAACAUGUGUCCUUAUGUCCAUGCGUUCAUUACUUUUAAAAUAGGUUUUAUUUUUAAACACAGCUUUUGGUUCACAGAAAAAUUAAAAAGACAGUCCAGAGAGUUUUCAUCUCCGUCCUUGCCCUGUUUCCCCUGUUAUUAAUGUAACAUCUUACAUCAGCUCUGUACAUUCGUUAUGAUGAAUAAACCAAUAUUGCUAUUCUAUCA
RNAcentral lists this long non-coding RNA (971 nucleotides) under Sus scrofa (pig). RNAcentral describes it as "lncRNA (ENSSSCG00050014891.1)". The record is from RNAcentral. Lineage: Eukaryota; Metazoa; Chordata; Mammalia; Artiodactyla; Suidae.